This 459-nucleotide ribosomal RNA is filed under the name uncultured Methanolinea sp. Its description in RNAcentral is "bacterial SSU rRNA". It matches the Rfam family "Archaeal small subunit ribosomal RNA", at positions 881 to 1338 of the family's 1478-position model. Lineage: Archaea; Methanobacteriati; Methanobacteriota; Methanomicrobia; Methanomicrobiales; Methanoregulaceae. The record is from RNAcentral.
ACAACAGGUGGAGCCUGCGGUUUAAUCGGACUCAACGCCCGGAAAUCUCACCGGAUAAGACAGCUGGAUGAUAGCCGGGCUGAAGACUCUGCUUGACUAGCUGAGAGGAGGUGCAUGGCCGUCGUCAGUUCGUACUGUGAAGCAUCCUGUUAAGUCAGGCAACGAGCGAGACCCACGCCAACAGUUGCCAGCAUGUCCUCCGGGAUGAUGGGGACACUGUUGGGACCGCCUCUGCUAAAGAGGAGGAAGGAAUGGGCAACGGUAGGUCAGCAUGCCCCGAAUUAUCCGGGCUACACGCGGGCUACAAUGGUCAGGACAAUGGGUAUCAACACCGAAAGGUGAAGGCAUUCUCCUAAACCUGUCCUUAGUUCGGAUUGUGGGCUGCAACUCGCCCACAUGAAGCUGGAAUCUGUAGUAAUCGCGUCUCAACAUGGCGCGGUGAAUAUGUCCCUGCUCCUU